Molecule: ribosomal RNA, 140 nt
Filed under: Valenciennea longipinnis (long-finned goby)
Lineage: Eukaryota; Metazoa; Chordata; Actinopteri; Gobiiformes; Gobiidae
Description: partial 12S ribosomal RNA
Source: RNAcentral
UGACAGACAUCGGCGUAAAGAGUGGUUAAUAGAAAUGAUACUAAGGCUAAACAUCUUCAAGGCUGUUAUACGCACCCGAAGACAGGAAAACCUACCACGAAAGUGGCCUUAACCUAUUUGAACCCACUAAAGCUAGGAGA